This 515-nucleotide ribosomal RNA is filed under the name Colletotrichum gloeosporioides. RNAcentral describes it as "eukaryotic LSU rRNA". The stretch from base 154 to 307 matches the Rfam family "5.8S ribosomal RNA". Lineage: Eukaryota; Fungi; Ascomycota; Sordariomycetes; Glomerellales; Glomerellaceae. The record is from RNAcentral.
CCCUUUGUGAACAUACCUACAACUGUUGCUUCGGCGGGUAGGGUCUCCGCGACCCUCCCGGCCUCCCGCCUCCGGGCGGGUCGGCGCCCGCCGGAGGAUAACCAAACUCUGAUUUAACGACGUUUCUUCUGAGUGGUACAAGCAAAUAAUCAAAACUUUUAACAACGGAUCUCUUGGUUCUGGCAUCGAUGAAGAACGCAGCGAAAUGCGAUAAGUAAUGUGAAUUGCAGAAUUCAGUGAAUCAUCGAAUCUUUGAACGCACAUUGCGCCCGCCAGCAUUCUGGCGGGCAUGCCUGUUCGAGCGUCAUUUCAACCCUCAAGCUCUGCUUGGUGUUGGGGCCCUACAGCCGAUGUAGGCCCUCAAAGGUAGUGGCGGACCCUCCCGGAGCCUCCUUUGCGUAGUAACUUUACGUCUCGCACUGGGAUCCGGAGGGACUCUUGCCGUAAAACCCCCCAAUUUUCCAAAGGUUGACCUCGGAUCAGGUAGGAAUACCCGCUGAACUUAAGCAUAUCAA